Molecule: non-coding RNA, 149 nt
Organism: Caenorhabditis elegans
Lineage: Eukaryota; Metazoa; Nematoda; Chromadorea; Rhabditida; Rhabditidae
Source: Ensembl
AUGGAUCAGUGAGAAAACAGGACCAUCUGUCAUGAAGCGUGUGAAUAGAUUAUGCACCGAAAAUGAAUCAUUUUCAUGAGGAAGAGAUGUAUUAUAAAAUGUAUGAAGAAGAGAAAUGAGGCGAUAAUUGUGGUGUUAUGUACAUAUAU